UCCCUUUUUUUUCUGUUUUCCACACAGAUUUGUUAUCUUUGGAAAAGCUAUUUACCUGCCAUCCUACUAGUGAAGAUCUAAUUCUAAGAAUUCCAGUAUAUUCUUGUUUGAAUCUUGUUCUUUUCUAUCAUCUCCUGCGUGGUAUUUGAUUCUAGUUUGAAAAACUUGAAAUUUUAUUGCGUUUAUUUAUUGAAAGGCUAUUUUCAUAACAUUAAAAUAUCUCAUUUAAGAUUCCUGCAAAACAUGAAGCCUUUUCAUUUAGACAGUUG
This 269-nucleotide unclassified non-coding RNA is filed under the name Hevea brasiliensis (rubber tree). The record is from RNAcentral. Lineage: Eukaryota; Viridiplantae; Streptophyta; Magnoliopsida; Malpighiales; Euphorbiaceae.